GAUGAACGCUGGCGGCGUGCCUAAUACAUGCAAGUCGAGCGAACAGACGAGGAGCUUGCUCCUCUGACGUUAGCGGCGGACGGGUGAGUAACACGUGGAUAACCUACCUAUAAGACUGGGAUAACUUCGGGAAACCGGAGCUAAUACCGGAUAAUCUAUUGAACCGCAUGGUUCAAUAGGGAAAGACGGUUUUGCUGUCACUUAUAGAUGGAUCCGCGCCGCAUUAGCUAGUUGGUAAGGUAACGGCUUACCAAGGCAACGAUGCGUAGCCGACCUGAGAGGGUGAUAGGCCACACUGGAACUGAGACACGGUCCAGACGCCUACGGGAGGCAGCAGUAGGGAAUCUUACGCAAUGGGCGAAAGCCUGACGGAGCAACGCCGCGUGAGUGAUGGAGGUCUUCGGAUCGUAAAACUCUGUUAUUAGGGAAGAACAAAUGUGUAAGUAACUAUGCACGUCUUGACGGUACCUAAUCAGAAAGCAACGGCUAACUACGUG
This 497-nucleotide ribosomal RNA is filed under the name uncultured bacterium. RNAcentral's name for it is "partial 16S ribosomal RNA". It matches the Rfam family "Bacterial small subunit ribosomal RNA", at positions 28 to 507 of the family's 1533-position model. The record is from RNAcentral.